UAAUAAUAAUAAUAAUAAUAAUAAUAAUAAUCUGUGCCGAUUCCAACAUGGAGGCUGUAUCCUUUGCCAAAGCCGAGCAAACGAGGAGAGGCGUCUAGUGGUGCUGCUGACAAAGGGGCCGAUGUAUUAUUUAACACUUGCCAUGGGUUGCAUAUUGUGGGGAAUCCAGCAGCAGGAAUUAAACCUGCUAUUUGCAGUGGCACUGGCAAAACAAAAAAACAAAAAAGACGGGCGGGGGAGGAAUCCAAACUCUGACCCGAUCCUGCACUGGAAAUGUGUAGAAGUCGGGACAGCAGGGGGCUUGGUGAUGGCAUAUGGUAGGUUCCAGAUUUGCAAGCCUAAUAGAAGGUAUAGGGGUUCCCCACACCCCCUCAAUAAGCCUUAACUAGCUAAACUUGAUGCAUGGUCAUUCCUGAAGAUAAAGAGGUUGUGUGUGUCUGUGUGCAAGUGUGUGUCUGCGUAAGUUCCCCCUCGAAGGUGUAAACAGGCACUUGGCGUUUGCAACUCCGAGUUUCUGUCACGGGUUGGCUGCACCUUGAGGCGCUCAGGUGAUUCCUCCUCACUUUUUUUUAAUUUUUUACUCCAGGUGGAGGAAGGGAGGGUCACGGCAGAAGAGAAGACGCGUCUCCUCUGAUCUGCCAACUCCCGAGAUUGCCUUUUGUUUUGAUUACGGGGUUGUAGACCGCUUCGGGUGCCAUCGCGAGACUUAGGGUGUGUGUAUGUGUGCGUGCUGUAUAUAAAUCGGAAAGAGAGCAAGGCAGAGAAAUAGCUCUCCUGGAGUUAUAUCAUCCAGGCGUGCAUUUAUUUACUUUUACCUGGAAAGGCGGCGCUUCUUUUUGUUCUGUUUUUUCCCCUGGAUCAAUCGCUACAAUGACCAUUGAGGUCCUCCUGUACAUAUGUUAGUGUGUAUCCCAAAGCCAUCAAUACUCUGGCCGUCAACUUUUCAUUCCAUUUACUUCUGUCUCUCAGCAGAUGGGCCACACCAUUUUGCUUUCUCAUGCACUUCUCCUGGUUUGCCAAGGAACUGAAUGCUUGAUGGUCACCACUUCAAGGUCUGGACAUUACUUCCUUAAAGUUUUCACUUGUGAAAUCCUGACGGAUUGAUUACUAUCACUCCAUCAUCAUGUCCGAAUAAUAAUAGUAAUAAUAAUAAUAAUAGAUAUCCAACAAAGUCAUACUUAGAGUAGACCCACUGAAAUCAACCGACUUAAGUUACAUUGAGUAUAGCUAACGUUGGAUAUCACCCAGUGAUAAUAUCCUGGCGCUCUAGGCAACUUUUAAAUUUAGCGUUUCUAUAUCCUUCAAGGCAUGUUGGUAGAAAAUACACUUUUUUUCACCCCAGCUGUAUGUUUGGGUUUUUUUUUUAAUUAAAAAAAAACAUUUAUUCGUCGGUGGUUCUUUGGUUUAAAUUUUGGGACUGUUUAAACUCUGAAAGGGAACUAGGGGUGGUAACAAAUACGCCGGCCUAUAAAGGAAAUAUUGGAUCGUAAAAGAACUCAGUAACAAUGCAUUCCACGGACAUACUUAAUUUCUUGGAAGCCGCCCAGAGUGGCUGGGGUAACCCAGUCAGAUGGGCGGCAUAUAAAUAAUAAUAAUAAUAAUAAUAAUAAUAAUAAUAAUAAUAAUAAUAAUAAUAUGUCAAACGCCGUUCAUACCUAAAAUUCUCCCUAGAAAGUUCUUUUAAGGACAUUUUUACUUGCGGAGAAGUUGGCACCGAAAACAGAGAGGCUCUCUUCUCACUAUCAAAAUAAUCAUAAUAAAACAUUAGGCUUGGCCUGUCAGAAAGAGAUCUGAUUUGGCCCUAGAGAAAGAAGGGUGCCGGAGAGCGGCGCUCCGAGGCCUUGGGACUCAGGCAAGCACGCUUUUCCUGGGGCUGAUCGCAUCGCACCGUCUGCAUCAAACACGGUGGAGCUCAAAGCUGUCCAUGAGAGAUUGAUAUAGAUUUUCGAGGAACCCUCCCAUUUUGUUUUAGUCUGAGAAUCUGUGCUCUUGUUCAACCUUUAUGGGAUUGUAAUUGCCGAAAUUGACCUUCAGAUGCCCCCUUUCCUCCUCCCUCUUUUUUUGUUUUUUUGUUUGUUAAUACUGAGCUUCGGUAACUUUAAUCCACUCCUUUGUCAAACAGAACUCACCUGGCGUUUACACUGGAGCUAUCUGAGUAGGGAAGAAGUUUAGGACAGGAAAUUCCACGCUAUGUCACACCAGCCCUGUCGUUUGCGCCAGGACGGGAAUAUAACUAGGAUUCCCCUUUCGUUCCCUUCAUUUUUUCUAAAAUGAUGAACUUCUCAUAUUCGUGGAUCUAUUUGCAUGUGAGUGAAGGCAUUCCCCCCGCUGUAUAUUUCUGCAGUGGCUCCUGGGGCAGGUUCCCAUGCCUUAAGCUCAGCUCCUCUAGAUUGGAGGCUGUGAUGUCCUCGUAUGGUGAAGGCGACUUGGUGCGGAAGCCAUGGAAGAUCCAGCGAGAUGUUCUCCAGCCAGAGGCCCGUUCGGUUCAGGUGGUGGUGGUUAUAGGGGUGGGGAAGAGGGUCUAGUGCAGGAGGCCUCUGCGGUGGCAUCCCAGCGUCAAAAAAAGUGGCGGAGCUUUUGGGUUAGCCAGAGGUGAAGGUGAAGAUCAUUAGAGGGUGUUUUUUUAGGCUUGGCUGGCUGUGGCUCUUUUGGCUGGCUUUGGGUGAUCGUGCCCAGAGGGCGGAGUUGCUGCGAUUUCCUACCUCUCAGCGGAGAACCUGCCCUCUCGACUCCACGGCAGAAGGACGGGACCUUCUGGGAAGGAAAACAGCUGGACGAAGGAUCUCAGCGAGGAAUCCUGGCAGCAGCAGCAGCAGGGUAGGUGAAGUUCAAGCCAGCCAGCCCCCAUUCCGCCUUCUCCCUAAGGGGGGUGAGGGGUUCAGGAGAAGAGAGAUGGGAAAGCUUCUGUCUAUAUCCAUUCUUCGGCCUUCACCCGGGAAAAAUAAAUAAAUCAAAUAUUAUGAAUUCUCUCUCCCUAUCUACCUCCAUUUCGAUCUGUAAAUUUGGACGGGCCAAGAAUUGGAUCGUCUUUUCUACACCGCACAAUCCCCCACAAUAGCAACCCCCCCUUCUCUAUUCGUUCUUCUUCAGUUUUAUUUAUUUGUUAUUUUAAGAGUCAUGACCUAGGUAAAAUGUAUCCUGCUUUCUUCCAUUGAAACACUGUAGACCUUUGACAACUGGCGAGGAGAAGGAAGACUUUGCCUGCUUUUCAAAGGGGGAGACUCGAGCGACAAAGAGCCAAGGUGACGAAAAGCCAAGACGAUUGCGCCGCUGAGAGAGCCUUUGUUUGCCUUUUGAAGCGGGUGGGAAGAAUUACCUGCGGCGGAAAGGAAGAAGGAGCCCAAGGAAUCCGACCUGCUUGGUCGCCGCCGCCGCCUUCUUCCUUCGGCCCUUUUCGAACUGGUAACGCGGAGGAAGGAGCGACGAUGCUGAUGAGCAGAAAGACUGAUGAUGACGCCCAAAGCGGAGGGACGUCAGGAAAAACGGAACGAGAGAAAUGUCUUUAGCAGGAGAAGGCAGGAAAAAAAUUUAUUCCGAAGAGCGGGAAAGGCACCCCACGACAAAAAGCAACAAACACAACGGACACAGAUUUCUCCUGUUAGGAGUAGCGUGGAAGAAUCUUGAGAGCGAAUAUAAAAGAAAACAAACAAAC
This is a long non-coding RNA of Podarcis raffonei (Aeolian wall lizard), 3652 nucleotides long. RefSeq lists it as uncharacterized. The record is from RefSeq and is a predicted model, not a curated record. The transcript is spliced from 2 exons. Lineage: Eukaryota; Metazoa; Chordata; Lepidosauria; Squamata; Lacertidae.